AUUGUUGGACACUCUCCAGGACAAAAGGUCUAGAUUCUUCAAAAACAACAACAUCGAAAAAAAAAAACUGCCAGAAAGAAAAAAUACAGAGGGAGAAGGACACAGAACACAUUUAUGAGUCUUUUCACCCUCAUUUCGUUGAAGAUUUUAUUGGCCGAAGAACCCUCAGUAGGCACGAAAUUCAUUCUCACAAGCAGAGAGAUGCAUUAUGCUCCAUUUAUUGCUCAUCCUAAAUUAUAAACAUUUCCAGUGAAUGUAAAGGAAGAUAUGAUUGAAAAGGACUCUGUGAAGACAGGAUGUUUCUGUACAGUCCUUGUAUCUGCUCACCUAUUCCAAACUUUCCAGAGAUUUUACCAGAGGUUUAAGAUAUUCUCCUGAGGGUUUGCUGUAGAGAGAUUUUUCUUAACUAAGGAGUGCAAGUAGCAAGCAAUAGCCCACCCAGUUGGAGACAAAAAAGAAGGGUGUCAGUGUUCCCACUGUUAAAAAACAAAAAAAAAUCACCCUGGACACCUCUGAGAAUUAUACAAGGGGAUGUACACAGCCCUGCUUUAUUUGAGUUCAAAAGGAAGGUGGGUUUUGAAAGAAGAACAAGGAGAGUAGAUCUCUCUGGAUCUUCUGAUGCUCACAGCAAAGAGCUCAAGAGGAAGAAACAGGCCCAGAGAAGUUGGGUAACUCAUCAAAGGUCACAGAGCUAAGAGUGGCAGAGUCAGGCCUGGAGCCCAGGAAGUCUGGUUUCGAAUUUCAUGCUUCUAACCUGAGCACUGUACUGCUUGGUGGAGUUCUCUGCUAGUCCUACCUUUCAGGCAGAGGUGAUGCAGCAAGAAAGCUGCCACCAGAUGCAGCCCCUUGAUCUCGGACUGCCCAGCCUCUAGAACUGAGUUGAAGAGCAAUUCCCUCCAGUUUCCAUUAGAAAUGCUUCUUCUUCCAUAUCAAAUAUUGUGAGAUAGCCUGAAACACCUUUCAACACUUUACUACCCUUCUCCAAAAUUCAACAGAUAUGAUUUCCACGGACUUUACUCACAGGGGCUUCAGUAGAAGAGGAAGAGGCUUGGGUUUAAUUGAAGGUGGCCUGAGACAUCUGUGAGGAACAGCCCUUUUAGAGACAUAUCCCCUACAAAUAAAGCAUCAGAAUUAUUAUCCUAA
This 1143-nucleotide long non-coding RNA is filed under the name Homo sapiens (human). Its description in RNAcentral is "long intergenic non-protein coding RNA 906". Lineage: Eukaryota; Metazoa; Chordata; Mammalia; Primates; Hominidae. The record is from RNAcentral.